CUCCUCCGCCACCUCCGCCGGGAGGGCAGCUGGAGCAAGGUGGCGAUGGGGUGACAAACGGUGGUGGGUUGACAAACGGCGGAGGGUUGACGAACGGCGGCGGAUUUGUGAUCGGAGGAGGGUUGAUGAACGGAGGGUUUGUGAAUGGAGGAGGGUUGACCACCGGAGGAGGUCUGACUGGAGGGUUUGUGAUCGGAGGUAGGAUUAUGGGUGGCAUCGGUGGGCCCAUUGACGGUGGAUUAUGUCCUUUGCCUCCUGAUCCACCACCUCCAUGUCCUCCACCACCGCCACCUCCAUGUCCUCCACCACCGCCACCUCCAUGUCCUCCACCACCACCACCUCCAUGUCCUCCACCACUGCCACCUCCGCCGCCACCGCCACCAUGAUGAGGAGGCUGGGUCCACCGCCACCUCCAUGCCCACCACCACCUCCGCUGCCGCCACCACCGCCUCCACCUCCGCCUCCAUGUCCUCCACCGCCGCCGCCCCCGUGAGGAG
RNAcentral lists this long non-coding RNA (497 nucleotides) under Linum usitatissimum (flax). RNAcentral describes it as "long non-coding RNA (LUSI_LNC005513)". Lineage: Eukaryota; Viridiplantae; Streptophyta; Magnoliopsida; Malpighiales; Linaceae. The record is from RNAcentral.